RNAcentral lists this long non-coding RNA (2985 nucleotides) under Gallus gallus (chicken). RNAcentral describes it as "long non-coding RNA NONGGAT002807". The record is from RNAcentral. Lineage: Eukaryota; Metazoa; Chordata; Aves; Galliformes; Phasianidae.
UGGCCUUGGCAGGAAGCUCUCCUAGCUUUUGGACAGAAAUGGGAGGAAACGGAGUAAAGAGGGGGAGAAAACAAUGAUAGUGUGUGAGCUGUGAGAGAGAAGGCUGUGAAUGAAAUAAAGGCAGGUGUUUGCUGUGUACGGCACCAACAUCCAUGUGCCCAGUGUGUAUUCUCACACAUGGCUGGUACAGCCAUGGCUAGUACAAACUUCCUAGGGAGGACAGCAACCACCAACUGAAGAGGAGAUGGAAUGCUUUGCUCAUCUUCCACUGGGAGACACCAUAACUUCUGCCCACUAAGUGCUACACACACAGGGAGAGCUGAGCACCUUUGCUGGUAUCUGGAUGGAAGCUCAUGUGUGGAGAACCAGAGAAGUUUGUGGCAUGUGUGAGCAUCCCUGGGCAAAGUACAGAGCAGCCUGAGCUAAGCUGAGAGCAGACCUCACAAAGAACCAGCAAAGCUCAGAGCAGGCUAGUGAGUAACUCAGGGCUGAGAAAUGAACUCAGUUCUAAUUAUGUCAUCCUAUCCUGCUGCCCCUGAUACCAUUUCCUGUGCACUUCUCUCUUCCUACACAUGCUUCAUCCUUCCUGUCUUGUAUUGUCACAGCAGGCACACUGUGAAGCUCCCAGUUGCUUACUGGGAUUAACAUAGCAGCUCCGGUUUCUUAAGGCAGGCAGAUUCUAAUUAAACUUAGGGCUCACAUCAUACUCAAAAUGCCCCUUUGUGACACGCAGCUGAAGCUACUUGGAAAGUGUCAGUGCCCCCAGACCUUUAAUGAUCUUCAGUAUCAUGGCAGUAUAGGCUGUGUCUGUUCAAAGACUCCAGACAAAUGGAUGCAAAAACAGCAUCACUCUAAGUCAGAGAUCUAAGACGAAAUCUUCCAAGUAUGAAACAUAUCCAGAGGUGUGUCUGUCAAGUUUUUUAUUGGCUUGUCAUAGACAUGCACACAAAUAGCCUGUAGCAAACCCUUCCCACUGUAGGACUGUGUGGUGACCUCAGUUUCCUUUCAGGGCUCGAUUUUGGACUUGGGGAAAAGCAUGCUCAGUCCCAAGCCUCCAGGCUCACUGGGCCUGGACAGGUAAGGCAACAGCUGUACAGGCUUUGGUUCCUCUCCCCUACACUCCUAUAGAAAUGUGCCCCGUGAGUCUGCCUGGAGGAUCCAGAAAGAGGAACGCAGAAGUCCUUUCCACCCUCCCAACUCUUCUGGCACCUGGCAGCCAAUUGCACAUUAGGUGCUGAGACCAUCAGGUAUUUUUUCAUGUGGGCAUCUGAACGGUGGUGGGACUGCAGUCUCUUUUGGUCACAAUAACCCUGAAGAUGUUUGUGACAGCUUUUUACACCUCUUAUGCAAUACAGAAGGAGUUUGUGAUAAUUUCAUGCCACAGGAACCACUCUUUAGAUGCUGAGAGCAGCAUCUUCCCAAACAGCUGACUGAUCUGCAGGGGAAAGACAAGCCAGUGUGCCAGGGAUGGAGCAAGUACUGCUCUGCAUCAGCUGCUCCUGGAGGAGAGGGGGAGAACAGCAGCAGUGGUGUUGUGGAUGGUGUGGAAACCAACUUCAGCUCAGGACUUGCAAUGGCUGCUUUCCUGAAGGUUAGAACAAAUGUACGGAAAAGGUAUUUGGAGUUAAGACUUGCCUUAAAAAAAAAAAAACACAGGAAAGCUAAAGCAAGUAUGAAAAUAAAUUAGAAAUGAGGGGCAGAUAAAAGCAGAACCUGCAGGAAUCAAAUCUAAACAAAAAGCAGGGGCUGGGCCGUCCAGUGAGAAAGCCACAAAUGGCAGGGGUUGAAAUGUAAAACCUACAGGCCACUGAGAAACAUGAAAGAUGCUGUUGUGUUCCACACCUCCUUUUCCCGGGUGUAGCUGUCUCCAUACAGUGAAGGGCAGUAAUGAAUCAAGCUCCUUUCCUCUCCUCCUGUGUUUUCUAUUCAAUUAUUCACAGGCUGUGCCAGUUCUGCUUUAUUUCUCCCCUCCAUAUGCUGCACUCUCCUCCUGGGGUUUUCUAUUCUGAGCUAUGCCUUUGGCCUCUCUCCCAUUUCUUUCUCCUCAGCAUGUGCCCCCUGCUCUGCUAUGAUCUGCUGCCUUUGUAACCUCUGCUGUGCACAUAUGCUGGCUCUCCCUCCUUUCCUUGGCUCCUGGUCCGUCGAGUGUCCCUUCGCUUCACACUGAUGUUUUUGCCAGGGGGUCAGCAGCCUGCCAGCAAAGAAACAAUUCUGCUAUGGCCACUGCUUGUGCUUUCACGCUGCCAGCUCCUCUCUGCCGAUCAAGGGGAAACCAUGCUGCUCCCCUUGCACAGCUGAUUGGUAGCGAAGGCAAGGAUGGCUCUGCAGCUGCUUAGCAACUGGGAGCUGCUGCUGUGCAGCCCCGCAGAAAGGCAAGGGACAGCGCAGCACUCGCUAAUUCUGCACGUUCUGGCCCACUCGGCUGAAAACCGCGGCUUAGUGGAGCAGCUGGGGCACUCCCAGCUGUCCUGACAAAAAUAAAUCAAGCUGAGGAUCCUUCACUGCAGAUACGGCAGCAACAGCAGCAGUGUCAAGGGCAAAACUAUCUUUCUUUUGUGCCAUAGGUUGUUUGCAUCGUGCCAGUUAGGAGAAAAUGCUCCAAUUUGUAAGCUAAACUCAUUCCAUUUGAUCUUUGUCAUCGCUUUUCAGGCUGUAACAUUUUAUGUUCCAUCACUUAUAAUGAGAACGUUCCCUCUGUGUGCUGCGUUUGCUCAAAAGGCUCACGGGUCUCCAGCUACCACCACUUCGAAGCUGUUUAAUGAUAGAUGUCCAGGCAGAUAGGCACGAACACCCAGCAGAAUGGUGGUUCCCCAUCAUUAUGCAGCACACACAGCCCAUGUGCAUACAGCCCAUGCAUCUGCAGAGCAUGCUGAAACACAGGUAAAAUCCGUCAGGAGGUGCAUAUUUUGACAGAGAAAUUCCUUACCUGUAUGAUGUGCCAUACUUAGGAAAAGGUUAAAAAUAGGAAAGGAAAGAAGAAAAAAA